CUUUUGACAGCCGUGAGCUUCCCCGCCAGGAACUUACUGGGGCUGCAUCACCCUAGAAACGUGGCUUUGGGCUGUGGAAACGCUGCCUCUGUGGAAGUCUCUCCUCGCGGGGGUGGACGGGUCGCUGCGCGCCCAGCGUUCUUCUGCGGUUCUCACAGCCCGCCGCCGCCGCCGCCUCGGGGACCUUUGCGGGGAGGCCUCAGGGCACCUUCCUCCUCUCUCUCAGGCACGUCCUCGACCUCAGUUGCCACGUGCACAUGCUGGUGCCUUCCAGGCUGGAGUAUAGUGGCAUGAUCAUAGAUCACUGCAGCCUCAAACUCCUGGGCUCAAGCGAUCCUCCCACCUCAGCCUCCAUAUAGCUGGUGGGGACCAAGUUUCUAACACAUGAAUGUUGGGAGACACAUUCAGACCAUCGCAGUGGCCUUAUAAAAAGAGACACAAGAGCUUGCUCUCUGCCAUGUGAGAAUACCACAAGAAGACUGUCCUCAGCAAAUCAGAAAGCGGGUGGACCCUCAUCAGACACCAGAUGUGCCUGCACCUUGAUCUUGGACUUGCCAGCCUUCAGAACAGUAAGAAAGAAAUGUGUGUUGUUUAAGCCACCCAGUCUAUGGUAACUUGCUAUAGCAGCCCACUAGGAGACCCCAAGAUAUUUAAAAACUCAUCAGCACCUGCUUUCUGCAUCUGGACCCUGAUCUUCUGGUGGGUUUACCAGUUACUUGUAGAGUGUCCCUGUGAUAGUUUUAGGUGUCAACUUGACAGGAUUGAGGGAUGCCUAGAUGGCUGGGGAAGCACUGUUUCUGAGAAGGACCAUGUUUUUGGAGGAGACUGUUUUAU
RNAcentral lists this long non-coding RNA (834 nucleotides) under Homo sapiens (human). RNAcentral's name for it is "non-protein coding LINC00847:23". Lineage: Eukaryota; Metazoa; Chordata; Mammalia; Primates; Hominidae. The record is from RNAcentral.